AACUUUUUGUGAUUCCUAAGUGGGAUAACUGGGUCUUCACAUGCAGGUGUGAGAUGUGCCUCCCUCAGACCUUGUUACAGUGGUGUCUCAUUUACCUGUCUGACA
Molecule: small nucleolar RNA, 105 nt
Organism: Otolemur garnettii (small-eared galago)
Lineage: Eukaryota; Metazoa; Chordata; Mammalia; Primates; Galagidae
Source: Ensembl